UACGGAGGGUGCGAGCGUUGUCCGGAAUCACUGGGCGUAAAGGGCGCGUAGGCGGCGCGGGGAGUCAACGGUGAAAGCUCGGCGCUCAACGCCGAGUCGGCCGUCGAUACUCCCGUGCUCGAGCACUGUAGAGGCAGGUGGAAUUCCGGGUGUAGCGGUGGAAUGCGUAGAGAUCCGGAAGAACACCGACGGCGAAGGCAGCGCCCUGGACGCCAACUGACGCUCGGGCACGAAAGCGCGGGGAGCGAACAGG
RNAcentral lists this ribosomal RNA (253 nucleotides) under uncultured bacterium. RNAcentral describes it as "partial 16S ribosomal RNA". It matches the Rfam family "Bacterial small subunit ribosomal RNA", at positions 524 to 776 of the family's 1533-position model. The record is from RNAcentral.